RNAcentral lists this small RNA (992 nucleotides) under Pan troglodytes (chimpanzee). Its description in RNAcentral is "processed transcript". Lineage: Eukaryota; Metazoa; Chordata; Mammalia; Primates; Hominidae. The record is from RNAcentral.
AAUGCCUAACAAAGCAGAACGACUCACGCUGGGUCCCAGAGCUGGCCAGUGGAAGCACUGAGACCUCCACAUACUGAAGGCAUGGACUAUUGACCGCUGUUGGUAUUGGUCUCAUCAUUGACUAUCAUUAAGUGUUGGCUGUUUGCAUGCUUCCUGCCCAGUGGCAGGUUCAAAGAAGCCCGCAGGAAGCGUGCUCCUUUCUUUCCCAGGGCCCGCAAUUGGGCUGGAAGACAGAGCAACAAAAAGCGCCCAUGUAACUCAUGGGAACAUUCAUGUGUGCUGAAUGGCAGGUGAAGGUGCCACAGAGAGGCUGAGGAUUUCAGAGGGCACCAUGAACUGGAGUGAGGUCACAGAGCAGGAACCCAAGACCUUCACUUGGUUGGUGUGAGCACUCCAGGAGGCAGGCACCCUCCCUCAGCCCUCAAGCAAGCAAAAAUGGGUUUAAAAAAGAAGGAGAAGAAGCAGCAGCAGCAGCCGCCACAGAGCUUGUGACAGCUGCAGCCUAAGGGCAACAGGCAGGGGAGACCAAGGACCAGAAAGAGCAGAGGCUUUUUCAAAGAAAGAGACCCCUCUCCCAGCACCCAGCGAUGGCGGCAAGCCCCACCCGCAGUGCCUGCUAAGAACAAGUCCCACGUGAGAACAACAUGGCCCCCCGAGAUGCCCACAGGGACCCCGAGAUGCCUGCAGUGCUUGGCUCUCCCGCUGGCCAGCUGCCCACCUGGCUCAGGCCCAGUACUCACCCUGGUCACACCUGGGAGAGGAGGAGAGGAGAGCAUAGCACCUGCAGCAAGAUGGAUGUGGGCAGCAAAGAGGUCCUGAUGGAGAGCCCGCCGGACUACUCCGCAGCUCCCCGGGGCCGAUUUGGCAUUCCCUGCUGCCCAGUGCACCUGAAACGCCUUCUUAUCGUGGUGGUGGUGGUGGUCCUCGUCGUCGUGGUGAUUGUGGGAGCCCUGCUCAUGGGUCUCCACAUGAGCCAGAAACACACGGAGAUG